AUACCUGUCUAACCUACAAAGCACAAAUUUUGAAAUAACACAGCUUAACUUUACAGUUUCAAGAUAUGUAAUUUCAACAUUUGUAUUUUCAAGAUAUGUAAUUUCAACAUUUGUAGUUUCAACAUUUGCAGUUUCAACAGUUGUAUUAACGACACUUGCAUUAUCAAGCCUUGCAUUAACAAGCCAUGCGUUAGCGAACUAUGACCAUAUUUGGGUUGAUGACGUUGAUCAUUAAUCCGGAAAACGCCGAGUUUGGUCCUACAAUGAUGUCUCCCGUCUCAAUAAAAAUAUCUCUUCUUGGGUGGAGUUUUUCAAGGGGAACUACUCCCAUUAUUUCCGUUCUUCAAACAGCAAAUGAAACUAGUUUAUAGGCAAAUUCAUUGAUUCUUUAGAAGCUCUAAAUGUAUCAGAGGUUUUUGAGAAAAAUGCUGAUAUAUUGGAAUCUGCAGGAUAUAAAAAGAUGUUGACAUUAGAAAACAAAAAAGAAGCCAUGUUAGCGAUUCGAUGCCAUUAUGGAUUUUAUCGUUUUUUGCCACCAUUACUGCAGUUCAUAGAAGGUCUCAAACUUCAUGGUGUUUAUAAAUUAUUAAUGCAGUAUUCAGCAGAAGCCACCGAAUACUUUAGCCGGACAGAUGUUAAGGCUUUGGAUGUAAUUAAUUUGUUUCAUCCUAGUUUCUCAAUUAAACCAGAAGACAAGGAGUUAGAAGAGAUAAUUGUGUACAAUUUUCAUCAGUUUUUGAAGAAACUUGAACGUGGAAAAAUCAGUACCCAGUGGUUGGAUAUGGAAACAGAUCUCGAAGAUGAUGUUCAACUGAAUACUGGACAUUUUCUUCUGGCAACAACUGGUAGCCCUGCCAUAUCUCCAAAUAUAGGAGAUGGGCUACUACUAUUUGACCAUGAAAAUUUAAACUGCACUACAGUAAAUACAUGUGCGCCAUCUAUUACUAUUAACCAAACGAAAUAUAUGAAAGAAUACGAUUUCCUAGAAAAUGCUUUUAUUAACAUAAUUGUAUGUGCUUAUGGUUUUGGUUUGAAUUGAAAAUGUAUGUAGCAUGAACUGGGCCUCUGUUGGUGAAAUACCCAAUAAAAACCUAUUAAUUGAAAAAAAGCAGUGUUGAUUUCCUAAUUCAUUUCAUGAUAAUUAGAAAUGAAAUUUACGGUUGCAAGAAACAAGUCCAUUCCCUGAUUUUCUGAAUCGAAUAAAGGAUUUAUUUGGCACAUCAAUUCUUCCAUCUUUUGAUCAGUUAAAGAUAUAGGAAAAUGACCAAUAACAACUCUUUCUGGUUCAUCAUCAUAUGCCAUCAAACCAUUUUGUAUUGUUCCGUAACUUUGAAAGUCUGCCUAUAAAAAAAUAUUUAAAAUCUAAUGAACGUCUGUUUGGGAUUGAAUUUAUAGGUUUAUUUAAGAUAUAAGUUUAUUUCAUAUUGUAAACAAGAAUUUUAACGAAACUUGCUGUAGUUGUUUAUACCAGCAUAAGGAAGAAGCCUAUCGAAAUUCAAUGUUUUCCAGAGUUAUUGACCUUGAUUCACGAAACCUUGUAAACGUGAUAGAGACCAGAGUUGCUGUAAUUGUUUAUAAAAAUGGCGAAAAUUAGGUCAAGUCACAAAAUCAUCUGAUUCUGACGAAGCAAGCAAUUAAUUAUAUAUUAUUGAGGUCACUGAUUAUGAAUAUGCUAGUUUAAAAGUUGUAUCUUAUCUUUGAAAAGGUUGAAAGUUUCAUUUUACUAGUUAUUGUGCAUGCCCAUAAAAACUUCUUCUUUACACGAUAGAGAUCACAGUUCUCAACGAAAAGUUUUGAAACUUUCUGGGAUAUAAUAACAGUUGUUGGGGUGUAUAAGGUUGGAGACUUCUAUCUUAUCAUUAACAGAUUAAAUCAUUUGUUUGCUAUGGAAAUUAAAAUAUCCCAAAAUCUCACCCUCCAAUUUUUGAAUAUUUUUAGGCAUAAUCUUAACCACUGUCAAAAAAUGAAAGAUUAUAUUAAUCUGGAUUUCUUGAAUAAACAUAUCAAUGAAAAUA
This is a long non-coding RNA of Patella vulgata (common limpet), 2015 nucleotides long. RefSeq lists it as uncharacterized. The record is from RefSeq and is a predicted model, not a curated record. NCBI's taxonomy places the organism in Eukaryota, Metazoa, Mollusca, Gastropoda, Patellidae. The transcript is spliced from 4 exons.